UGGCUCUGGCAUCGAUGAAGAACGCAGCGAAAUGCGAUAAGUAAUGUGAAUUGCAGAAUUCAGUGAAUCAUCGAAUCUUUGAACGCACCUUGCGCUCCUUGGUAUUCCGAGGAGCAUGCCUGUUUGAGUGUCUUGAAGUCAUCAACCCCUCCCGUUUUGCGGGAGCUGGGAUUGGAGUUGGGGGCUUGCUGCCGCAAGGCGGCUCCCCUCAAAUGCAUCGGUUGGACCUGCGGGUCGGACUCGACUGGGCGUUGUACCAUCCUCGCUCGACCGAGAAGCUCCCCUAUUGUGUCCUCCCACGACCUUGCCUGUGGAGCGGCGGUAAAUGUACUUUGAAAUCUGACCUCAAAUCAGGUAGGACUACCCGCUGA
Molecule: unclassified non-coding RNA, 371 nt
Filed under: uncultured fungus
Lineage: Eukaryota; Fungi
Description: partial contains 5.8S ribosomal RNA and internal transcribed spacer 2
Rfam family: 5.8S ribosomal RNA (bases 1-133)
Source: RNAcentral